UCGAAGGAGUGGCGAACGGGUGAGUAAUACAUAAGCAACCUACCCACGAAGACUGGGAUAAUCUCUGGAAACGGGGACUAAUACCGGAUAGGUAAUCGGAAGGCAUCUUCUGGUUAUUAAAGGUUAAAAACACUGGUGGAUGGGCUUAUGGCGCAUUAGUUAGUUGGUGAGGUAACGGCCCACCAAGACGAUGAUGCGUAGCCGGCCUGAGAGGGUGAACGGCCACAUUGGGACUGAGACACGGCCCAGACUCCUACGGGAGGCAGCAGCC
This 271-nucleotide ribosomal RNA is filed under the name uncultured Solobacterium sp. RNAcentral's name for it is "partial 16S ribosomal RNA". It matches the Rfam family "Bacterial small subunit ribosomal RNA", at positions 87 to 355 of the family's 1533-position model. Lineage: Bacteria; Bacillati; Bacillota; Erysipelotrichia; Erysipelotrichales; Erysipelotrichaceae. The record is from RNAcentral.